Molecule: small nucleolar RNA, 84 nt
Organism: Harmonia axyridis
Lineage: Eukaryota; Metazoa; Arthropoda; Insecta; Coleoptera; Coccinellidae
Product: small nucleolar RNA snR60/Z15/Z230/Z193/J17
Exons: 1
Source: RefSeq, a predicted model, not a curated record
AUAAAUUCAAAAUGAUGAAUUCAUAGUUCAGAUGACAUAAAUGAUUACACUUUUUUUGUCUUUCGCUCCUAACUGAAUAUUUAU